AUAAACCGCUGCAGACCAAGUUUA
This 24-nucleotide non-coding RNA is filed under the name Arabidopsis thaliana (thale cress). The record is from RNAcentral. Lineage: Eukaryota; Viridiplantae; Streptophyta; Magnoliopsida; Brassicales; Brassicaceae.